This 1266-nucleotide long non-coding RNA is filed under the name Anas platyrhynchos platyrhynchos (common mallard). Its description in RNAcentral is "lncRNA (ENSAPLG00000025578.1)". Lineage: Eukaryota; Metazoa; Chordata; Aves; Anseriformes; Anatidae. The record is from RNAcentral.
AGCAUGGACAUGCAGUGCCCAAUGCGUGCCCACGUCUGUGCAAUGCCCAGGAUGCACGUGCAGUGCUCGAUGCACACACACACACACAUGGAAUGCCCAGCAUGGGUGUGCAAUGGCUGAUGCACACACACGUGCAAUGCACAGCAUGCACACGCAAUGGCCAGUACAUGCAUGCACACGUGCAAUACAUGCAAUGCCCAGCAGGGACAAAGACUGGCCGAUGCAUGCACACGUACGUGCAAUGCCCAGCAUGGAUGUGCAAUGCACAGCAUAGAUGUGCAAUGGCUGAUGCACACAUACAUGUGUGCAAUGUCCAGCAUGGAUGUGCAGUGCCUGCACAGACAUGCAAUGGCCAAUGCAUGCACACACACAUGCAAUGCCCAGCACAGAGGUGCAAUGCCUGAUGCAUGCACACAUGUGUGCAAUGUUUGGCACAGACAUGCAAUAACUAAUGCACACCCCCACACGUGUGCAAUGCCCAGCAGGAACGUGCAAUGCCCAGUGCACACCCCCACACAUGUGCAAUGCCCAGCAUGGACGUGCAAUGCCCAGUGCACACCCACACACACGUGCAAUGCCCAGCAGGAACGUGCAAUGCCCAGUGCACACCCCCACACGUGUGCAAUGCCCAGCAUGGGCGUGCAAUGCUCAGAAGGAACGUGCAAUGCCCAGCACGGACGUGCAAUGCCCAAUGCACACCCACACACGUGUGCAAUGCCCAGCAGGAACAUGCAAUGCCCGAUGCACACCCCCACACAUGUGCAAUGCUCAGCAUGGACGUGCAAUGCUCAGCAUGAACGUGCAAUGCCCAAUACACACCCCCUCACAUGUGCAAUGCCCAGCACAGACAUGCAAUGCCUGAUGCACAUCCCCACACGUGUGCAAUGCCCAGCACGGAUGUGCAAUGCUCAGCACGAACGUGCAAUGCCCAAUGCACACCCCCACACGUGUGCAAUGCCCAGCACGGAUGUGCAAUGCCCUAUGCACACCCUCACGUGUGCAAUGCCCAGCAGGAAUGUGCAAUGCCCAAUGCACACCCCCACACGUGUGCAAUGCCCAGCAUGGGCGUGCAAUGCUCAGAAGGAACGUGCAAUGCCCAGCACGGACGUGCAAUGCCCAUUGCACACCCCCACACGUGUGCAAUGCCCAGCAUGGGCGUGCAAUGCCCAACGCACACACACAACUGUGCAAUGCCCCAUACACACCCCCACACGUGUGCAACCCCCAUCCCACCCCACCCCCCCCCCUACCCCCUUCCCCUCCCUC